Molecule: non-coding RNA, 638 nt
Organism: Pelobates cultripes (western spadefoot toad)
Lineage: Eukaryota; Metazoa; Chordata; Amphibia; Anura; Pelobatidae
Source: the annotation of a GenBank genome assembly
CUAUUAUACUUAAUUAAAGGCACAGAACAAGCUGAACAAACACACAAACAAAUAAUUUAACCAGACAUUUCAUAAACAUUGAAAAUGUCAAACAGUGAUUUCAACAGUGAUUGAAUAAAAAUAAAAUUAAUAGAAAAAUAUUAAAAUGAUCCAUUAAUUUAGGAGAAGCAUCGGUGGAGAUUUCUACACAUCUGUCAUCCGUGCCUUUUUCUUGAGAACACAAAAUUCCAUGUUGUGUAAACACAUCAGAGGUUGUUGCGUAUGACAAAGCGAAGACACAAUGUAAGCCAUGGAUUGCCCCAGUGUAUGUUAGCAUCCAGUUUGCAGUCCAAGACAUUCUGCAGUCACAGCUCCAAGGAUUAGAAGAAAGGAAAACGUGUUUCAGUUUGGGCAUGUUUGAAAACAAAUAGCUGGGAAUGAAGGUUAAGUUAUUUUUGCUCAGGUGAAGCAUUUGAAGUUGAUUUAAAGAAGAAAAUGCAUUUUGUGUGAUGCUCGUUAUGCGGUUGUUAUUCAAAUGUAAUUUUUUCAAGUUAACAAGACUGUUAAACGAGCAGUUGAUUGUAGUGAUCUUGUUAGCUUCUAGAUACAUAAUCCUGAGCUGGCGUAAGCUUCUAAAAAUCUGAUUAGGCAAAUAAGAU